CCUGCCGUAUCACCGGCAGUUUCUUACCUUGGCAUGCAUUACCGGUAACGGUUUUGUGUGAAGCCCAGGGGACAAUGGAAUCCUUGGCCGAAAGGCUUGGAGAGGAAACCGUGAGGUAGCCUCAACUCUGGUAGCAUCAAACCGGAUGGAAGC
Molecule: non-coding RNA, 153 nt
Organism: Desulfamplus magnetovallimortis
Lineage: Bacteria; Pseudomonadati; Thermodesulfobacteriota; Desulfobacteria; Desulfobacterales; Desulfobacteraceae
Source: Rfam